GAAUCUUUCACAAUGGACGAAAGUCUGAUGGAGCAAUGCCGCGUGUGUGAAGAAGGUUUUCGGAUCGUAAAACUCUGUUGUGAGGGAAUAACAAGUUCGAGAGUAACUGUUCGUCCCUUGCCGGUACCUCAUUAGAAAGCCAUGGCUAACUACUUGCCAGCAGCCACGUGAAUACGUAUGUGGCAAGCGUUUUCCGGAAGUAUUGGGCGUAAAGCGCGCGCAGGCGGUCCUUUAAGUCAGAUGGGAAAUCCCACGGCACAACCGUGGAAGGUCAUUGGAAACUGGGGGACUUGAGUACAGAAGAGGAAAGCGGAAUUCCAAGUGUAGCGGUGAAAUGCGUAGAGAUUUGGAGGAACACCAGUGGCGAAGGCGGCUUUCUGGUCUGUAACUGACGCUGAGGCGCGAAAGCGUGGGGAGCAAACA
This 423-nucleotide ribosomal RNA is filed under the name uncultured bacterium. Its description in RNAcentral is "partial 16S ribosomal RNA". It matches the Rfam family "Bacterial small subunit ribosomal RNA", at positions 359 to 774 of the family's 1533-position model. The record is from RNAcentral.